RNAcentral lists this unclassified non-coding RNA (230 nucleotides) under plant metagenome. RNAcentral's name for it is "partial contains small subunit ribosomal RNA, internal transcribed spacer 1, and 5.8S ribosomal RNA". The record is from RNAcentral.
UUUCCGUAGGCGAACCUGCGGAAGGAUCAUUCAUAAUAAAGUGUUUUAUGGCACUUUUUAAAAAUCCAUAUCCACCUUGUGUGCAAUGUUAGAUCUCGUCAAUCUUGGCGAGAUUUUUAUACAUCAACUCAUUCUUUAACUAAUUUGUCUGAAAAAUAUUAUGAAUACUUAAUUCAAAAUACAACUUUCAACAACGGAUCUCUUGGCUCUCGCAUCGAUAAGAACGCAGC